CGGGAUAUAGCGCAGCUUGGUAGCGCGCGUCGUUCGGGACGACGAGGUCGCAGGUUCAAAUCCUGUUAUCCCGACUA
This 77-nucleotide transfer RNA is filed under the name Arthrobacter sp. MYb211. RNAcentral describes it as "tRNA-Pro". It matches the Rfam family "tRNA". From Rfam's summary of the family: Transfer RNA (tRNA) molecules are approximately 80 nucleotides in length. Their secondary structure includes four short double-helical elements and three loops (D, anti-codon, and T loops). RNAcentral also lists the same sequence under 5 other names. The record is from RNAcentral. Lineage: Bacteria; Bacillati; Actinomycetota; Actinomycetes; Micrococcales; Micrococcaceae.